UUGCGAUCGGGGUUUCAGAGCCUAGGGA
This 28-nucleotide non-coding RNA is filed under the name Homo sapiens (human). Lineage: Eukaryota; Metazoa; Chordata; Mammalia; Primates; Hominidae. The record is from RNAcentral.